Molecule: non-coding RNA, 75 nt
Organism: Podarcis lilfordi (Lilford's wall lizard)
Lineage: Eukaryota; Metazoa; Chordata; Lepidosauria; Squamata; Lacertidae
Source: the annotation of a GenBank genome assembly
GGCUGGUUAGCUCAGCUGGUUAAAGCAUGGUACUGAUAGCACCAAGGUUGCUGGUUCGAGCCCUGUAUGGGGACA